Molecule: ribosomal RNA, 484 nt
Filed under: uncultured bacterium
Lineage: Bacteria
Description: partial 16S ribosomal RNA
Rfam family: Bacterial small subunit ribosomal RNA
Source: RNAcentral
AUUGAACGCUGGCGGCAGGCCUAACACAUGCAAGUCGAGCGGAUGAAGGGAGCUUGCUCCCGGAUUCAGCGGCGGACGGGUGAGUAAUGCCUAGGAAUCUGCCUGGUAGUGGGGGAUAACGUCCGGAAACGGGCGCUAAUACCGCAUACGUCCUGAGGGAGAAAGUGGGGGAUCUUCGGACCUCACGCUAUCAGAUGAGCCUAGGUCGGAUUAGCUAGUUGGUGGGGUAAGGGCCUACCAAGGCGACGAUCCGUAACUGGUCUGAGAGGAUGAUCAGUCACACUGGAACUGAGACACGGUCCAGACUCCUACGGGAGGCAGCAGUGGGGAAUAUUGGACAAUGGGCGAAAGCCUGAUCCAGCCAUGCCGCGUGUGUGAAGAAGGUCUUCGGAUUGUAAAGCACUUUAAGUUGGGAGGAAGGGCAGUAAGUUAAUACCUUGCUGUUUUGACGUUACCAACAGAAUAAGCACCGGCUAACUUCGUG